UGAAGCUUCUUACUCGGGAACUGCGCGAAGCGAAGCCACUGCCCAACUUCCCCAGGAACUGUGUCACCUCCAGAAUGCUUCCAUCCUUCCGGGACAUCUAUCUUCUCCAAGCCCCAACCAUGAAAGAAACUUCCAAAUUAGCAGAUAUGCUGAGAACCUAAGUUGUUCCAGGCACUGAUAGGUGUGAGUAACAUGGUAUAAAAAGUCAUGAACAAAUUCAUAUGAUGCAGUAGAAGAUGCACGUCCUCUCAUGGGAGAACUUCUAGAGGACUAAAGGUUACUGGCCUCUUUUAUUCUUUUCAUCAUGCCCCCAUUCCUGUGAAUGACUCCUGUAGCAUCACUAAAAUGUCAUCUCCAGCUUGUUCUCCAGGAAGAAUGAACGUGUGGAAGCCGGCAUUUGAUUUCUUCCUGCUGGCUACUGACCUUAGGGAGACAGCAUGGACAGUGUGGAUACUCACUCUAACAUCAGGCUACCGAG
Long non-coding RNA from Nyctereutes procyonoides (raccoon dog), 478 nucleotides. RefSeq lists it as uncharacterized. The transcript is spliced from 3 exons. Lineage: Eukaryota; Metazoa; Chordata; Mammalia; Carnivora; Canidae. The record is from RefSeq and is a predicted model, not a curated record.